GAUGAACGCUGGCGGCGUGCCUAAUACAUGCAAGUCGAGCGAACAGAUGAGGAGCUUGCUCCUCUGACGUUAGCGGCGGACGGGUGAGUAACACGUGGAUAACCUACCUAUAAGACUGGGAUAACUUCGGGAAACCGGAGCUAAUACCGGAUAAUAUAUUGAACCGCAUGGUUCAAUAGUGAAAGACGGUUUUGCUGUCACUUAUAGAUGGAUCCGCGCCGCAUUAGCUAGUUGGUAAGGUAACGGCUUACCAAGGCAACGAUGCGUAGCCGACCUGAGAGGGUGAUCGGCCACACUGGAACUGAGACACGGUCCAGACUCCUAAGGGAGGCAGCAGUAGGGAAUCUUCCGCAGUGGGCGAAAGCCUGACGGAGCAAAGCCGCGUGAGUGAUGAAGGUCUUCGGAUCGUAAAACUCUGUUAUUAGGGAAGAACAAAUGUGUAAGUAACUAUGCACGUCUUGACGGUACCUAAUCAGAAAGCCACGGCUAACUACGUG
RNAcentral lists this ribosomal RNA (497 nucleotides) under uncultured bacterium. Its description in RNAcentral is "partial 16S ribosomal RNA". It matches the Rfam family "Bacterial small subunit ribosomal RNA", at positions 28 to 507 of the family's 1533-position model. The record is from RNAcentral.